This 253-nucleotide ribosomal RNA is filed under the name uncultured bacterium. RNAcentral describes it as "partial 16S ribosomal RNA". It matches the Rfam family "Bacterial small subunit ribosomal RNA", at positions 524 to 776 of the family's 1533-position model. The record is from RNAcentral.
UACGUAGGUGGCAAGCGUUGUCCGGAAUUAUUGGGCGUAAAGCGCGCGCAGGCGGUCCUUUAAGUCUGAUGUGAAAUCCCACGGCUCAACCGUGGAAGGUCAUUGGAAACUGGGGGACUUGAGUACAGAAGAGGAAAGUGGAAUUCCAAGUGUAGCGGUGAAAUGCGUAGAGAUUUGGAGGAGCACCAGUGGCGAAGGCGACUUUCUGGUCUGUAACUGACGCUGAGGCGCGAAAGCGUGGGGAGCAAACAGG